This 478-nucleotide ribosomal RNA is filed under the name uncultured bacterium. RNAcentral describes it as "partial 16S ribosomal RNA". It matches the Rfam family "Bacterial small subunit ribosomal RNA", at positions 28 to 507 of the family's 1533-position model. The record is from RNAcentral.
GAUGAACGCUGGCGGCGUGCUUAACACAUGCAAGUCGAACGGGAAACCUUUUAUUGAAGCUUCGGCAGAUUUAGCUGGUUUCUAGUGGCGGACGGGGGAGUAACGCGUGGGUAACCUGCCUUAUACAGGGGGAUAACAGUCAGAAAUGGCUGCUAAUACCGCAUAAGCGCACAGAGCUGCAUGGCUCAGUGUGAAAAACUCCGGUGGUAUAAGAUGGACCCGCGUUGGAUUAGCUGGUUGGUGGGGUAACGGCCCACCAAGGCGACGAUCCAUAGCCGGCCUGAGAGGGUGAACGGCCACAUUGGGACUGAGACACGGCCCAGACUCCUACGGGAGGCAGCAGUGGGGAAUAUUGCACAAUGGGGGAAACCCUGAUGCAGCGACGCCGCGUGAAGGAAGAAGUAUCUCGGUAUGUAAACUUCUAUCAGCAGGGAAGAUAAUGACGGUACCUGACUAAGAAGCCCCGGCUAACUACGUG